GAUGAAGAACGCAGCGAAAUGCGAUAAGUAAUGUGAAUUGCAGAAUUCAGUGAAUCAUCGAAUCUUUGAACGCACAUUGCGCCCGCCAGUAUUCUGGCGGGCAUGCCUGUCUGAGCGUCAUUUCAACCCUCAAGCAACUUCUGCUUGGUGUUGGGGAUCGGCCGUCAAACGCCGCCCCCGAAAUCUAUUGGCGAUCUCGCUGUAGCUUCCUAUGCGUAGUAGUAACAUCUCGCAUCUGGAGAGCGGCGCGGUCAUGCCGUAAAACACCCAACUUCUCAAGUUGACCUCAGAUCAGGUAGGAAUACCCGCUGAACUUAAGCAUAUCAAUAAGCGGAGGA
RNAcentral lists this unclassified non-coding RNA (338 nucleotides) under soil metagenome. RNAcentral's name for it is "partial contains 5.8S ribosomal RNA, internal transcribed spacer 2, and large subunit ribosomal RNA". The stretch from base 1 to 120 matches the Rfam family "5.8S ribosomal RNA", at positions 35 to 154 of the family's 154-position model. The record is from RNAcentral.